This 233-nucleotide ribosomal RNA is filed under the name uncultured bacterium. Its description in RNAcentral is "partial 16S ribosomal RNA". It matches the Rfam family "Bacterial small subunit ribosomal RNA", at positions 118 to 351 of the family's 1533-position model. The record is from RNAcentral.
UGAGUAACCUGCCCUUAACUCUGGGAUAAGCCUGGGAAACUGGGUCUAAUACCGGAUAUGACUCCUCAUCGCAUGGUGGGGGGUGGAAAGCUUUUUGUGGUUUUGGAUGGACUCGCGGCCUAUCAGCUUGUUGAUGAGGUAAUGGCUCACCAAGGCGACGACGGGUAGCUGGUCUGAGAGGACGACCAGCCACACUGGAACUGAGAUACGGUCCAGACUCCUACGGGAGGNAG